AUCAUUAAACAUAUUCCAAAUGUGAACCUAUUUUUAGAAAUGGCCCAACUAUGUACUAUGCAGUUCAGAGCUCCAAUAUCUGAGCUAGAGCAGGCAAACUAGAAGUACUAAUGCAUGUAUUUCACAAGUCACAGAAGCCAUUUCGCGUUCUUUGUUUACUGAAACAGAAAGAACCAUUGGGACAAUGAUGGCAUACCUCCCAAUUGUAAAUCGUCUAUCAAGCAGUCGUUAGUAUUGCAUAUUUGCUUAACUAGUCACUCACUACUGUAUCUUCCAUCUCCAAAAGGUCUCCGUCCUUCCAUAGCUUCUUUCUUCUCUUGGCAGCUUGAGCAAAGGAAAGGGCCGUCCCAUGGUCGUGAACUUCUUGUAUUCGAGGAGCCAGCAUGUAUGGAAACACCUUGUCCGGGCUUUAUCUCUACUUGACAGACAGCACAUAUGAAUAACUUAAACAUGUUGCAGACUGGAUAUUUUGCAUCUAACCUGUCUGAAAGUGAUGCCGAUCCCUCCUCAAAUAGUUCUUCCACAACAUCCGGUUCACAAAAAUCUUUCUGAAUAUUAGAAGAUGACUCAGAAGUCUUCUUGCGAAACAUAGACUUGAAUACUCCUUUUCCUGACCUUUUGGGUGGUGGUGGCGGAGGAGGAUUUGAUUUUUCUGGGAGCUGUAUAUCGACCACAAUACAGGUUGUAUCAUCUCGAAUCCCUUUUGGCUGUACGGCGUCUUUAACAAUUUGAGAAGCUGCAGCAUCUGCAGGCAUUCCACGACUACAUUCAAUAGCCGAUUCAGCAGACAAAGCAUCCCAGACGCCGUCACUUGCUAUUACUAGCCUUCCACCAGCUGAUGUUAGCUUUACUUGCUUCACAUAGGGUACAGGAACUAUAUAUUCGCCAACAUCCAUAUCUCCAAUGGAUCUCGAGAGGCAGAGUCCACCAGGCCAACAUCUCAAAGGA
This 948-nucleotide unclassified non-coding RNA is filed under the name Hevea brasiliensis (rubber tree). Lineage: Eukaryota; Viridiplantae; Streptophyta; Magnoliopsida; Malpighiales; Euphorbiaceae. The record is from RNAcentral.